GUGGAGAACCAUCGAGAAAAGAAAGAAGGGAAAAAGGGAGAAGGGGAAUUUGGCGUGGGAAAAAAGAGAGGGAGAGGCCAUUUUCUUCUUCUUCCUCCUUUACUCACUUCACCCCUUGCAAACUAUUUUCAACAUAACUUCCUCAUACGAUAAUGAAUUCACACUAGGCCAGAAGCUAUGCUUUCGUAGCAAAGCUGUCUUCAAUCUGAUACCAUACCCACCCUUUGAAAACCGGUGUACAAAGAAAACGAGGCCCAAACAUAUUGACGUUUUCCGGCAACUUUCCUCCGAUUUCGGCCAACCCCGCUGGAACCUGGCCUCGACCCAAGUGAAAAUAAUGAUUCUUUCCCGUGGGCUCUCCUCUAGCCGGAUGAAGAGCUUAAGACUGCUAGGAAUUUAUAUUUUAUUUUGAGGCACUUGGAUAAACAGUUUGGUUUUCUAUGUUAAUUAUUAAGAAUCAUUGAUAUGGUUUGGCUGGUGUACUAGUUACGAAUAAUUAUUCAAAUGUUAUCGUUUAGGGAUUGCAUGUUAUUCUAUGGGCUGAGAACUAGUUCCUUGAUAUCAAACAUUAUACCUAUUCUCUAGUUGAAUAUGACUAUGUUCUGAAUUCAAGACCAAUUUAAUAUGGCGGGUCAA
Long non-coding RNA from Pyrus x bretschneideri (Chinese white pear), 636 nucleotides. RefSeq lists it as uncharacterized. The transcript has 2 exons. The record is from RefSeq and is a predicted model, not a curated record. Lineage: Eukaryota; Viridiplantae; Streptophyta; Magnoliopsida; Rosales; Rosaceae.